AGGACGAACGCUGGCGGCGUGCUUAACACAUGCAAGUCGAGCGGAAAGGCCCUUCGGGGUACUCGAGCGGCGAACGGGUGAGUAACACGUGAGUAAUCUGCCUCUAGCUCUGGGAUAGCUCCGGGAAACCGGGAUUAAUACCGGAUACGACCACUUUAGACAUCUGUUGUGGUGGAAAGAAUUUUGGCUAGGGAUGAGCUCGCGGCCUAUCAGCUUGUUGGUGGGGUAACGGCCUACCAAGGCGACGACGGGUAGCCGGCCUGAGAGGGCGACCGGCCACACUGGGACUGAGACACGGCCCAGACUCCUACGGGAGGCAGCAGUGGGGAAUAUUGCGCAAUGGGCGAAAGCCUGACGCAGCGACGCCGCGUGGGGGAUGAAGGCCUUCGGGUUGCAAACCCCUUUCAGCAGGGACGAAGCGAAAGUGACGGUACCUGCAGAAGAAGCGCCGGCUAACUACGUGCCAGCAGCCGC
RNAcentral lists this ribosomal RNA (474 nucleotides) under uncultured bacterium. Its description in RNAcentral is "SSU rRNA". It matches the Rfam family "Bacterial small subunit ribosomal RNA", at positions 26 to 518 of the family's 1533-position model. The record is from RNAcentral.